CCUACGGGUGGCAGCAGUGGGGAAUAUUGCACAAUGGGCGAAACCCUGAUGCAGCAACGCCGCGUGAGUGAAGAAGUAUUUCGGUAUGUAAAGCUCUAUCAGCAGGGAAGAAAAUGACGAUGCCUGAUGAAGAAGCCCCGACUAACUACGUGCCAGCAGCAGCGGUAAUACGUAGGGGGCAACCGUUAUCCGGAUUUACUGGGUGUUAAGGGAGCGUAGACGGCAGCACAAGUCUGGAGUGAAAUGCCGGGGCUUAACCCCGGAACUGCUUUGGAAACUGUGCAGCUAGAGUGCAGGAGAGGUAAGUGGAAUUCCUAGUGUAGCGGUGAAAUGCGUAGAUAUUAGGAGGAACACCAGUGGCGAAGGCGGCUUACUGGACUGCAACUGACGUUGAGGCGCGAAAGCGUGGGGAGCAAACAGGAUUAGAUACCCUGGUAGUC
RNAcentral lists this ribosomal RNA (440 nucleotides) under uncultured bacterium. Its description in RNAcentral is "partial 16S ribosomal RNA". It matches the Rfam family "Bacterial small subunit ribosomal RNA", at positions 338 to 795 of the family's 1533-position model. The record is from RNAcentral.